Molecule: long non-coding RNA, 2450 nt
Filed under: Equus caballus (horse)
Lineage: Eukaryota; Metazoa; Chordata; Mammalia; Perissodactyla; Equidae
Description: lncRNA (ENSECAG00000043292.2)
Source: RNAcentral
GUUAAUCAGCUGACCUUAAAUUACAUUAUUCUGGAAAUCCAGGUGCACUUAAUGUAAUCACAGGGGUCUUUAAAUGUGGUAGAGAGAAGGAAGCAGAUGAGUCAGAGUCAGAGGGAUGAAGUGUGAGAAAGAUUUAACCAGACAUUGCAGGCUUGGAAGAUGGAAGAAGGGGGCCACUGGCCAAAGAAUGCAGGCAGCCGGAAAAAGUAAGAGAGUGGAUUCUCCCCUCUAGAACCUCUAGAAAGGAACUCAGCCCUGCUGACAUCUUGAGGUUCAUCCAGUGAGACUCAUUUUGAACUUCUGACCUCCAAAACUGAAGGUGAGCAAUUAAUUGCAUAGAAGACCCAGGUCUUCCCAGAGGCUUUCUCGAAGGACACAGCCUUCCUGAACGACUUCUAUAUGAAACAUCAUUUAUCAUUACGCAGAGGGAAAAGAAUGUGACAAAGCAUGAAUGGACCCUUACAGCUUCUUCCUGUAACGCACAAAACUUCUGCUCAUUUUUCCUGGUCAAAUCAAGUCAGAAGACCUAACUUCUGAGGGGUGGGAGGAUAUAAUCUUCUCUCAGGGAGGGAAAACACAUAUUUGGUAAACAAAAAUGAAAUUUACCAGGAUUACCAUGUCAGAACCUAAGAGAACAUAAACAUUUAACUUGCUCUUAGAAAAAGGAGCACCUUUCAAAAAUGCUGAAAGAAGUAGCCAAAAAUAUAAGUGGAAAACACAGACGAAGAAUUUUUUCUGAAAAAGAGAAGGAAAAAUAUUUUAGUUUAAAUUCGUUAAUGAUUUUUGAAAUUUAUGUACCAUUGGUAUAUUUGCUAUUCAUAAUCAUUUAUAACGAGGAGUAUGGGGGUAAAACUUGUUACUAUCUUAAACACUUCUUGCUGAAGAAUUACUCGCAAGAAAUACUCUGUAAAGGUAGAAAUACUUCCAAAUUUCUCUUCAUAGUUAAAAUAUAUGUUUUCCUAGAAAAUUAAAGUUAGUUUUAAAUUUCUCAAACUAGGUCCUUGUUGAAGGCCUUGGAACAAGUAUUCGUAUUUGCCCCUUCCAUUUCAGGCAAAAUGGAAGCUCCCGCAGAUGGAGCUCUGCCUGAUCUGCCGUAGAUUCCGGGGACUGUUGGACAGUGACUUCUGGAACAGACACUCUUUGAAUUUUCUUUCUAUGGGAAUUGCAUAGUGCUGCGUUCGACGUGCUAAAGGAAACAUUACACUGAUAGGCAGAAAGAAAGAGAGGAAGAGAGAAGAGAGACUGAAAGGCAAACAGAGUUAAGAAAACCUUUUUCUCCAUUCUCUUAAAGAACUAUGACUUACAGCAAUUGGACACAAUUGGAAACACUGGUUCUAUUACCAAGACUUUGACUGGAACAUCAUAUUUUAAAAAAAACAUGUGGGCUUAAAUAUAACAAGGCAGCUCUGGAGGAAUGAAGGUUGACAUUCUGGAAUAAAGCCACUUGGAAAUAUUGGCCUGCCUUACAAACUGAAGCUGGAAGACCCAAUAUAAACUUAAGAGAGAUUCAUGUCUACUGCUGUGUAAGCCACUCAAAGAGCUACCUGAAAGCUGGAUGACACCAUCAGAGACAUUUCAAACUGCAAAAGAUGCUUCAACCCUGACUUCUAGGAAUCUUGAUUGGCUGCCCCCUGGGCUCAGAAACUGGUUUAUAAUUUUCUCCAACCAUUAACCUUGUUUUUCUCUUUUUGUUUCUCUUAUUAAAUACCUGGUUGCUUACUUACAUGAUACAGGCCUACCUUCAGGAGCCCACCAGCAUCAUUGCCUUAUUAAAAGACUGGUUCAAUGAGAUGAGACAACCUACACCCAUUUCAGCAGGAAGUAGCUAGACCAGUCGCCACCCCAAAUCCCUCAAGAUUGAGGGAUGGACAUAAAAUAGGGGGAGUUGAUAUCGACCCUGAUAUCAGUUUCCCCACAUUAAACCCAGCAUAUAUGGGGUUAAACCAAAACACUCAUUCCCUGCUGACUCUCUGGCUUCCUGGCUCCAGAAUCCACUAUCCUCCAUGGAGACAAACACUGUCAUGGACAAGCACCUGGACUAUCUCCUCCCGCAAAGAGAUAUGGGCUGGUGGGAAAGCUGCUGACUAGCCAAGGUCACAAGCUCUCUCCUCUCUGUAAGUGUCUCAAGGCCAAAGAUGGGCUGGUGGGAAAGCUCCAACCAGCAAAGCCAUAUGCUCCCCCUCCCCUCCCUAAAACCCCAAAUAAAAUCCUUCCUUUUAGCUUUUCGGGGAGUUUGGGAUUUCAGUGUUAGCUGCCCUCUCUCCUUGCUCAGCACUGUGCAAAAAUAAAAUUCCUACUUUCUUCCACCACCCCCGGUGUCAGAAAUUGUCUUGCUGUGCAACAAGUGAGUGAAUUCACUUCAGGUUCGGUAACAUUUUCAAAUUUAGUGUAGAUUUCAUCUUUCCUGUGGUUGCUUCAACUUUCUCUCCAGCUCCUUAGCUAGUGUCCCU